ACAGCCACAACCAAAGUCCCGGAGAUCCGUGAUGUAACAAGGAUUGAGCGAAUCGGUGCCCACUCCCACAUCCGGGGACUGGGGCUGGACGAUGCCUUGGAGCCUCGGCAGGCUUCGCAGGGCAUGGUGGGUCAGCUGGCGGCACGGCGGGCGGCCGGCGUGGUGCUGGAGAUGAUCCGGGAAGGGAAGAUUGCCGGGCGGGCAGUCCUUAUUGCUGGCCAGCCGGGCACGGGGAAGACGGCCAUCGCCAUGGGCAUGGCGCAGGCCCUGGGCCCUGACACGCCAUUCACAGCCAUCGCCGGCAGUGAAAUCUUCUCCCUGGAGAUGAGCAAGACCGAGGCGCUGACGCAGGCCUUCCGGCGGUCCAUCGGCGUUCGCAUCAAGGAGGAGACGGAGAUCAUCGAAGGGGAGGUGGUGGAGAUCCAGAUUGAUCGACCAGCAACAGGGACGGGCUCCAAGGUGGGCAAACUGACCCUCAAGACCACAGAGAUGGAGACCAUCUACGACCUGGGCACCAAGAUGAUUGAGUCCCUGACCAAGGACAAGGUCCAGGCCGGGGACGUGAUCACCAUCGACAAGGCGACGGGCAAGAUCUCCAAGCUGGGCCGCUCCUUCACACGCGCCCGCGACUACGACGCUAUGGGCUCCCAGGUGCGGCCGGGACUCCCGGGAUCCCCUCGCCCCCAGUACUGGGGUGUUUUCAUCUCCUCCAUCACCCCCUUGACCCAUGGGGUCUGGAUCUUCCUGUUACCCUGACUGUUUGUCCUGGUACUCCUGGGUCUUCCCUGUAACCCUAGGACAGCAGGGCCCCUCAGCCUGGCACUAUAGCUUCGCAUGGCCACAUGUGGCCUGUGGCUUCUAAGGUCCUCCGGGAGCCCCCGUGACCCUCAGCGCUCUGGAAUGUCCCUAGUCCUGACUACCUCCUGGGCCUGGGGUUUCCAGAUGACCCCAUUUAGCCUCCCAGCUCCAUUUCCUGGAGCUCCAGUCUCCCCCAGACAGAGGGCUUUAGGGGCCCCCUUCAUGCCCUUCCCUGCCCUGUCUCCUCCGUUCUUCCCCCACCCCCACCCCAUAGACCAAGUUCGUGCAGUGCCCAGAUGGGGAGCUCCAGAAACGCAAGGAGGUGGUGCACACCGUGUCCCUGCACGAGAUCGACGUCAUCAACUCUCGCACCCAGGGCUUCCUGGCGCUCUUCUCAGGUGACACAGGGGAGAUCAAGUCAGAAGUCCGUGAGCAGAUCAAUGCCAAGGUGGCUGAGUGGCGCGAGGAGGGCAAGGCGGAGAUCAUCCCUGGAGUGCUGUUCAUCGACGAGGUCCACAUGCUGGACAUCGAGAGCUUCUCCUUCCUCAACCGGGCCCUGGAGAGUGACAUGGCGCCUGUCCUGAUCAUGGCCACCAACCGUGGCAUCACGCGAAUCCGGGGCACCAGCUACCAGAGCCCUCACGGCAUCCCCAUAGACCUGCUGGACCGGCUGCUUAUCGUCUCCACCACCCCCUACAGCGAGAAAGACACGAAGCAGAUCCUCCGCAUCCGGUGCGAGGAAGAAGAUGUGGAGAUGAGUGAGGACGCCUACACGGUGCUGACCCGCAUCGGGCUGGAGACGUCACUGCGCUACGCCAUCCAGCUCAUCACAGCUGCCAGCUUGGUGUGCCGGAAACGCAAGGGUACAGAAGUGCAGGUGGAUGACAUCAAGCGGGUCUACUCACUCUUCCUGGACGAGUCCCGCUCCACGCAGUACAUGAAGGAGUACCAGGACGCCUUCCUCUUCAAUGAACUCAAAGGCGAGACCAUGGACACCUCCUGAGCUGGAUGUCAUCCCCCGACCCCACCCUGUUUUCCACCAGAGUUCUGACACU
This 1853-nucleotide small RNA is filed under the name Pan troglodytes (chimpanzee). RNAcentral's name for it is "retained intron". The record is from RNAcentral. Lineage: Eukaryota; Metazoa; Chordata; Mammalia; Primates; Hominidae.